UACGUAUGGUGCAAGCGUUAUCCGGAUUUACUGGGUGUAAAGGGAGCGCAGGCGGAAGGCUAAGUCUGAUGUGAAAGCCCGGGGCUCAACCCCGGUACUGCAUUGGAAACUGGUCAUCUCGAGUGUCGGAGGGGUAAGUGGAAUUCCUAGUGUAGCGGUGAAAUGCGUAGAUAUUAGGAGGAACACCAGUGGCGAAGGCGGCUUACUGGACGAUAACUGACGCUGAGGCUCGAAAGCGUGGGGAGCAAACAGG
This 253-nucleotide ribosomal RNA is filed under the name Roseburia inulinivorans DSM 16841. RNAcentral describes it as "partial 16S ribosomal RNA". It matches the Rfam family "Bacterial small subunit ribosomal RNA", at positions 524 to 776 of the family's 1533-position model. Lineage: Bacteria; Bacillati; Bacillota; Clostridia; Lachnospirales; Lachnospiraceae. The record is from RNAcentral.